GGAGAAAAGCAGGGGAUCGCAAGACCUUGCGCUUUUGGAGCGGCCGAUGUCUGAUUAGCUAGUUGGUGAGGUAAAGGCUUACCAAGGCUUCGAUCAGUAGCUGGUCUGAGAGGACGACCAGCCACACUGGGACUGAGACACGGCCCAGACUCCUACGGGAGGCAGCAGUGGGGAAUUUUGGACAAUGGGGGAAACCCUGAUCCAGCCAUGCCGCGUGAGUGAAGAAGGCCUUCGGGUUGUAAAGCUCUUUCAGCCGGAACGAAACGGUCACGGCUAAUACCUGUGACCACUGACGGUACCGGAAGAAGAAGCACCGGCUAACUACGUGCCAGCAGCCGCGGUAAUACGUAGGGUGCAAGCGUUAAUCGGAAUUACUGGGCGUAAAGCGUGCGCAGGCGGUUUUGUAAGUCAGAUGUGAAAUCCCCGGGCUUAACCUGGGAACUGCGUUUGAAACUACAAGGCUAG
RNAcentral lists this ribosomal RNA (465 nucleotides) under uncultured bacterium. RNAcentral describes it as "bacterial SSU rRNA". It matches the Rfam family "Bacterial small subunit ribosomal RNA", at positions 198 to 644 of the family's 1533-position model. The record is from RNAcentral.